AAAGUCGGAAUUGCUAGUAAUGGCAGGUCAGCAUACUGCCGUGAAUACGUUCCCGGGCCUUGUACACACCGCCCGUCGCACCAUGAGAGUUGGGAAUACCCGAAGCCUGUGAGCCAACAAACGAGGCAGCAGUCGAAGGUAGAAUCAAUGAUUGGGGUGAAGUCGUAACAAGGUAUC
Molecule: ribosomal RNA, 177 nt
Filed under: uncultured bacterium
Lineage: Bacteria
Description: partial 16S ribosomal RNA
Rfam family: Bacterial small subunit ribosomal RNA
Source: RNAcentral